AACGAACGCUGGCGGCAGGCCUAAUACAUGCAAGUCGAACGAUCUCGCAAGAGAUAGUGGCGCACGGGUGCGUAACACGUGGGAAUUUACCCUUGACUACGGAACAACGUCGGGAAACUGACGCUAAUACCGUAUAAUGACUCCGGUCCAAAGAUUUAUCGGUCAAGGAUGAGCCCGCGCUAGAUUAGGUAGUUGGUAGGGUAAUGGCCUACCAAGCCUACGAUCUAUAGCUGGUCUGAGAGGAUGAUCAGCCACACUGGAACUGAGACACGGUCCAGACUCCUACGGGAGGCAGCAGUAAGGAAUAUUGGACAAUGGGGGCAACCCUGAUCCAGCCAUGCCGCGUGAGUGACGAAGGCCUCGGUUGUAAGACUCUUCGGUAUGUGAAGGAUAAUAGACAGUAGCAUAAGAAGAAGACUCCGGCGUAACUACGUGCCAGCAGCCGCGGUAAAGUACUGUACU
This 462-nucleotide ribosomal RNA is filed under the name uncultured bacterium. RNAcentral's name for it is "bacterial SSU rRNA". It matches the Rfam family "Bacterial small subunit ribosomal RNA", at positions 29 to 536 of the family's 1533-position model. The record is from RNAcentral.